UCAAUAUUUGAUUUUGGUUUUUCGUUUUAUAAAAUCUUUUAGAUUGCAUGAAAAUUUUUGAGAGUGGGUAGUUAAAUUAUAAAUUUUAUAUUUGUAAGUGUUUAUUGGAGUUUAAGUCUAUAAUAAGUAAGUUCUCAGCAUGGUUUAUUAUUAGAGUAUAUAUGAAAAUAUGAAUUAGAAAAGAUUUUUAGGUCUAGUAAAUUUUGUGCCAGCAUCUGCGGUUAUACUUAAAGGCCGAGUAAAACUUUUUGGUUUUAAUUAGACGAAUAUUAUAUAAAUUUUGAGGUAUUAUAGAUAAUAGAAGGUAAAAUUAAAUUGUUAUUAUAUAAAAAUUUAAAGUUUAAAGUCGAAGUUAAGAAAAAUUAAAGUAAAAACUAGGAUUAGAUACCCUAUUAUUUAAUUUUAAAUUUAUACGAACCUGGUUAGUAAUAGUUAUUUACUUAAAAACUAAAAAAUUUGGCGGUAAUUUAAUCUUUCCAGAGGAACUUGUUUUUUAAUCGAUAAACCACGAAGUAUCUUACUUAUUUUAUAAAACGUUAGUUUGUAUACCGUCAUUAUCAGGUAACUUCAAGAGAAUAAGUUACUUAAAUUAAAGUUAAAUAAAAAAAUUAGAUCAUGGUGCAGCUUAUAAAUAAGUUAAAAUGAGUUACAAUAAAUUGUUUUAAGACGGAUUUAUGAUAGAAUUAUUGUAAUGAAGGUGGAUUUGGUUGUAUUUAAAGUUUAAAAAGCUUGGAAGAUAAAAGCUCUAAAUUAUGUACAUAUCGCCCGUCGCUUUCAUUUAUAAGUGAAAUAAGUCGUAACAUAGUAGGUGUACUGGAAAGUGCACCUAGAACUAU
This 836-nucleotide non-coding RNA is filed under the name Xeruca formosensis. The record is from RNAcentral. Lineage: Eukaryota; Metazoa; Arthropoda; Malacostraca; Decapoda; Ocypodidae.